Quercus lobata is the source of this 665-nucleotide long non-coding RNA. RefSeq lists it as uncharacterized. The record is from RefSeq and is a predicted model, not a curated record. Lineage: Eukaryota; Viridiplantae; Streptophyta; Magnoliopsida; Fagales; Fagaceae. The transcript is spliced from 3 exons.
AAAAAACAUGCGGUUCUAGUUCUGCUUCUUCUUCUCUCGCAUCUCAACGUCUCUUCUCUCCAGCUUUCAUUGCUGAUGUUCUUAGAUGUCAAACAAAGUCUGGAUUAUAACUUUAUUCCUUUAUGGUAAGUUAAGCAACCCUAUGAAUUCAAGACUACAUCAAAGAUGAAAGGAAAUUCAUGUUAUGUAAGUGCAAAACCACUUCUAUACAAAGCUCUUAUAAUGUCUCAACUUUUGAUAUCCAUCUUAACGGAAGAUUUGUGUAGGACAACUUUUGAUAUCCCUUAUGAAGCAAGUUCUUGUGGCUCCUUCCUUGCAGAAUUCUUUUUUUUUAAUAUUGGUGCACUUAUACAGGAGGACUUGUUGGAACUUUUUCGAUACAGGUUGGCAGCAGAGCUAGUGCUUUCAAAGGAUAAUAAACAACAAGGUUUUAAAUUAUUUAAAGCACUAAAAAAUAGAACUAUUGGAUUUUUUUUUUCAACCUCUCAAAUGACAAUGCUUUGUAUUAGUGUGAAUGUGAGUCUUUAUCUAUUAGCAAACAAGAGCACUGUAUACAUCAUCUAGAUAAUACACAACCUUCAAUUUUGAGUUUUGACAUUUGUAGUUUGUACUAAGAUAAAAGUGUAGGUGCGAUAACCUUCUCUGUCUGUGGUAUAAACCACAAU